Molecule: ribosomal RNA, 429 nt
Filed under: Pseudomonadota bacterium
Lineage: Bacteria; Pseudomonadati; Pseudomonadota
Description: Proteobacteria bacterium partial 16S ribosomal RNA
Rfam family: Bacterial small subunit ribosomal RNA
Source: RNAcentral
UGGGGAAUAUUGGACAAUGGGCGAAAGCCUGACCCAGCCAUGCCGCGUGUGUGAAGAAGGUCUUCGGAUUGUAAAGCACUUUAAGUUGGGAGGAAGGGCAGUAAGCGAAUACCUUGCUGUUUUGACGUUACCGACAGAAUAAGCACCGGCUAACUCUGUGCCAGCAGCCGCGGUAAUACAGAGGGUGCAAGCGUUAAUCGGAAUUACUGGGCGUAAAGCGCGCGUAGGUGGUUCGUUAAGUUGAAUGUGAAAGCCCCGGGCUCAACCUGGGAACUGCAUCCAAAACUGGCGAGCUAGAGUAGGGCAGAGGGUGGUGGAAUUUCCUGUGUAGCGGUGAAAUGCGUAGAUAUAGGAAGGAACACCAGUGGCGAAGGCGACCACCUGGGCUCAUACUGACACUGAGGUGCGAAAGCGUGGGGAGCAAACAGG